CAAGUUUAUUAAAAUUCAUAGAUCUUACUUACUCCGUUCCAUAAAGAUUGGCGUGAAUUUGAACUAGAGCUAGUUUAAAUCCGUGCCAAUCUUUAUGAAACGGAGGGAGUACAACAGAGUCAGUCAUGACUUGGCAGAUUUUGCAAGAUCGAGUCGACGUAGAGCU
Non-coding RNA from Brachypodium distachyon (stiff brome), 166 nucleotides. NCBI's taxonomy places the organism in Eukaryota, Viridiplantae, Streptophyta, Magnoliopsida, Poales, Poaceae. The record is from RefSeq and is marked provisional.